Molecule: ribosomal RNA, 172 nt
Filed under: uncultured eukaryote
Lineage: Eukaryota
Description: partial 18S ribosomal RNA
Rfam family: Eukaryotic small subunit ribosomal RNA
Source: RNAcentral
CGGUGGAGUGGUUUGUCUGCUUAAUUGCGAUAACGGACGAGACUCUUACCGGGGUAGUUAUAUGAAUAGGAGUUUUGGGCAGCCUCUGGCUUAACCGCUACGCAGUCCGCUCACUCCUCAUACCCCUACCGGAACAGGCGGUAUCGAAGCCGUACGAGAAAGAGCAAUAACA